UGUCACCAGGCUUCCUUGAACAUACCCACUCUCAUCCGAUUUGGGAAGCUCAGCAGGAUCAGUCCUGGUUAAUACCUGGAUGGGAGACUCUGUUGAAUGUCAACCAAUAAGGCUGUGAAAUCAU
RNAcentral lists this ribosomal RNA (124 nucleotides) under Pogona vitticeps (central bearded dragon). Lineage: Eukaryota; Metazoa; Chordata; Lepidosauria; Squamata; Agamidae. The record is from RNAcentral.